ACCAACCGGGAUUGCCUCAGUAACGGCGAGUGAAGCGGCAACAGCUCAAAUUUGAAAUCUGGCGUCAUCGGCGUCCGAGUUGUAAUUUGUAGAGGGUGUCUCGGGUGGAGCAUCGGUCCAAGUCCCUUGGAACAGGAUACCGCAGAGGGUGAGAGUCCCGUAUCCGGCCGAUCGUGUCCCCCGCUGUGAGACCCCUUCGACGAGUCGAGUUGUUUGGGAAUGCAGCUCUAAAUGGGUGGUAAAUUCCAUCUAAAGCUAAAUACCGGCCAGAGACCGAUAGCGCACAAGUAGAGUGAUCGAAAGAUGAAAAGCACUUUGAAAAGAGAGUGAAACAGUACGUGAAAUUGUUGAAAGGGAAGCGUAUGAGGCCAGACUUGUCUGCGGGUGUUCCGCCGGUCUUCUGACUGGUGUACUCGCCCGUUUGCAGGCCAGCAUCGGUUUGGGCGGUCGGAGAAAGGCGCUGGGAACGUGGCCCCCUUCGGGGGGUGUUAUAGCCCGGCGUGUAAUGCGACCAGCCCGGACCGAGGAACGCGCACUGCCCGGAUGCUGGCGUAAUGGCCUUAUACGGCCCGUCUUGAAACACGGACCAAGGAGUCUAACAUCUAUGCGAGUGUUUGGGUGUCAAGCCCGGACGCGCAAUGAAAGUGAACGGAGGUGAGAGCUUUAUUGCGCAUCAUCGACCGAUCCUGAUGUCUUCGGAAGGAUUUGAGUAAGAGCAUAGCUGUUGGGACCCGAAAGAUGGUGAACUAUGCGUGAAUAGGGUGAAGCCAGAGGAAACUCUGGUGGAGGCUCGCAGCGGUUCUGACGUGCAAAUCGAUCGUCAAAUUUGCGUAUAGGGGCGAAAGACUAAUCGAACCAUCU
This 861-nucleotide ribosomal RNA is filed under the name Matsushimaea sp. RNAcentral's name for it is "partial large subunit ribosomal RNA". It matches the Rfam family "Eukaryotic large subunit ribosomal RNA", at positions 64 to 945 of the family's 3401-position model. The record is from RNAcentral. Lineage: Eukaryota; Fungi; Ascomycota; Dothideomycetes; Venturiales; Sympoventuriaceae.